AGGGAUCAUUACAGAGUUUUCUAAACUCCCAACCCUUUGUGUAUCUACUAUUUUGUUGCCUCGGCGGGCUCUGCUCCUCGGAGCAGGCCUAAGUCCGCCGGUGGCCCAAAACUUAAACUCUUGGAUUUUUUGUUAUCUGAGUUAUUUUUAAAAUAAGUCAAAACUUUUAACAACGGAUCUCUUGGUUCUGGCAUCGAUGAAGAACGCAGCGAAAUGCGAUAAGUAAUGUGAAUUGCAGAAUUCAGUGAAUCAUCGAAUCUUUGAACGCACAUUGCGCCCAUUAGUAUUCUAGUGGGCAUGCCUAUUCGAGCGUCAUUUCAACCCUUAAGCCUAGCUUAGUGUUAGGAGCUUACGGCAAUGUAACUCCCUAAAGUCAUUGGCAGAGCUAAAUCAACUCUCAGCGUAGUAAUUUCAUCUCGCUCUUGUAGUUGGUCUGGCGAUCGCCAUAAACCUUUAUUUUCUAAUGGUUGACCUCGGAUUAGGUAGGAAUACCCGCUGAACUUAA
Molecule: ribosomal RNA, 505 nt
Filed under: fungal sp. R43
Lineage: Eukaryota; Fungi
Description: eukaryotic LSU rRNA
Rfam family: 5.8S ribosomal RNA (bases 162-315)
Source: RNAcentral